Molecule: non-coding RNA, 73 nt
Organism: Paramuricea clavata
Lineage: Eukaryota; Metazoa; Cnidaria; Anthozoa; Malacalcyonacea; Plexauridae
Source: the annotation of a GenBank genome assembly
CUAUAGGAUCCUAUAGGAAUUCCUAUAGGAAUUCCUAUAGGAAUUCCUAUAGGAAUUCCUAUAGGAUCCUAUA